This 84-nucleotide transfer RNA is filed under the name Bacteroidales bacterium. Its description in RNAcentral is "tRNA-Leu". It matches the Rfam family "tRNA". From Rfam's summary of the family: Transfer RNA (tRNA) molecules are approximately 80 nucleotides in length. Their secondary structure includes four short double-helical elements and three loops (D, anti-codon, and T loops). Further hydrogen bonds mediate the characteristic L-shaped molecular structure. tRNAs have two regions of fundamental functional importance: the anti-codon, which is responsible for specific mRNA codon recognition, and the 3' end, to which the tRNAs corresponding amino acid is attached (by aminoacyl-tRNA synthetases). tRNAs cope with the degeneracy of the genetic code in two manners: having more than one tRNA (with a specific anti-codon) for a particular amino acid; and 'wobble' base-pairing, i.e. permitting non-standard base-pairing at the 3rd anti-codon position. Lineage: Bacteria; Pseudomonadati; Bacteroidota; Bacteroidia; Bacteroidales. The record is from RNAcentral. RNAcentral also lists the same sequence under 1 other name.
GCCCGGGUGGCGGAAUUGGUAGACGCGCUGGACUCAAAAUCCAGUUUCAGCAAUGAAGUGCGGGUUCGAUUCCCGCCCCGGGUA